UUAAGUUAUUAAGGGCGCACGGUGGAUGCCUUGGCACUAGAAGCCGAUGAAGGACGUUACUAACGACGAUAUGCUUUGGGGAGCUGUAAGUAAGCUUUGAUCCAGAGAUUUCCGAAUGGGGAAACCCAGCAUGAGUUAUGUCAUGUUAUCGAUAUGUGAAUACAUAGCAUAUCAGAAGGCACACCCGGAGAACUGAAACAUCUUAGUACCCGGAGGAAGAGAAAGAAAAUUCGAUUCCCUUAGUAGCGGCGAGCGAAACGGGAAGAGCCCAAACCAAAAAGCUUGCUUGUUGGGGUUGUAGGACACUCUAUACGGAGUUACAAAGGACGACAUUAGACGAAUCAUCUGGAAAGAUGAAUCAAAGAAGGUAAUAAUCCUGUAGUCGAAAAUGUUGUCUCUCUUGAGUGGAUCCUGAGUACGACGGAGCACGUGAAAUUCCGUCGGAAUCUGGGAGGACCAUCUCCUAAGGCUAAAUACUCUCUAGUGACCGAUAGUGAACCAGUACCGUGAGGGAAAGGUGAAAAGCACCCCGGAAGGAGAGUGAAAUAGAACCUGAAACCGUGUGCUUACAAGUAGUCAGAGCCCGUUAAUGGGUGAUGGCGUGCCUUUUGUAGAAUGAACCGGCGAGUUACGAUUUGAUGCAAGGUUAAGCAGUAAAUGUGGAGCCGUAGCGAAAGCGAGUCUGAAUAGGGCGUUUAGUAUUUGGUCGUAGACCCGAAACCAGGUGAUCUACCCUUGGUCAGGUUGAAGUUCAGGUAACACUGAAUGGAGGACCGAACCGACUUACGUUGAAAAGUGAGCGGAUGAACUGAGGGUAGCGGAGAAAUUCCAAUCGAACCUGGAGAUAGCUGGUUCUCUCCGAAAUAGCUUUAGGGCUAGCCUCAAGUGAUGAUUAUUGGAGGUAGAGCACUGUUUGGACGAGGGGCCCCUCUCGGGUUACCGAAUUCAGACAAACUCCGAAUGCCAAUUAAUUUAACUUGGGAGUCAGAACAUGGGUGAUAAGGUCCGUGUUCGAAAGGGAAACAGCCCAGACCACCAGCUAAGGUCCCAAAAUAUAUGUUAAGUGGAAAAGGAUGUGGCGUUGCCCAGACAACUAGGAUGUUGGCUUAGAAGCAGCCAUCAUUUAAAGAGUGCGUAAUAGCUCACUAGUCGAGUGACACUGCGCCGAAAAUGUACCGGGGCUAAACAUAUUACCGAAGCUGUGGAUUGUCCUUUGGACAAUGGUAGGAGAGCGUUCUAAGGGCGUUGAAGCAUGAUCGUAAGGACAUGUGGAGCGCUUAGAAGUGAGAAUGCCGGUGUGAGUAGCGAAAGACGGGUGAGAAUCCCGUCCACCGAUUGACUAAGGUUUCCAGAGGAAGGCUCGUCCGCUCUGGGUUAGUCGGGUCCUAAGCUGAGGCCGACAGGCGUAGGCGAUGGAUAACAGGUUGAUAUUCCUGUACCACCUAUAAUCGUUUUAAUCGAUGGGGGGACGCAGUAGGAUAGGCGAAGCGUGCGAUUGGAUUGCACGUCUAAGCAGUAAGGCUGAGUAUUAGGCAAAUCCGGUACUCGUUAAGGCUGAGCUGUGAUGGGGAGAAGACAUUGAGUCUUCGAGUCGUUGAUUUCACACUGCCGAGAAAAGCCUCUAGAUAGAAAAUAGGUGCCCGUACCGCAAACCGACACAGGUAGUCAAGAUGAGAAUUCUAAGGUGAGCGAGCGAACUCUCGUUAAGGAACUCGGCAAAAUGACCCCGUAACUUCGGGAGAAGGGGUGCUCUUUAGGGUUAACGCCCAGAAGAGCCGCAGUGAAUAGGCCCAAGCGACUGUUUAUCAAAAACACAGGUCUCUGCUAAACCGUAAGGUGAUGUAUAGGGGCUGACGCCUGCCCGGUGCUGGAAGGUUAAGAGGAGUGGUUAGCUUCUGCGAAGCUACGAAUCGAAGCCCCAGUAAACGGCGGCCGUAACUAUAACGGUCCUAAGGUAGCGAAAUUCCUUGUCGGGUAAGUUCCGACCCGCACGAAAGGCGUAACGAUUUGGGCACUGUCUCAACGAGAGACUCGGUGAAAUCAUAGUACCUGUGAAGAUGCAGGUUACCCGCGACAGGACGGAAAGACCCCGUGGAGCUUUACUGUAGCCUGAUAUUGAAAUUCGGCACAGCUUGUACAGGAUAGGUAGGAGCCUUUGAAACGUGAGCGCUAGCUUACGUGGAGGCGCUGGUGGGAUACUACCCUAGCUGUGUUGGCUUUCUAACCCGCACCACUUAUCGUGGUGGGAGACAGUGUCAAGCGGGCAGUUUGACUGGGGCGGUCGCCUCCUAAAAGGUAACGGAGGCGCUCAAAGGUUCCCUCAGAAUGGUUGGAAAUCAUUCAUAGAGUGUAAAGGCAUAAGGGAGCUUGACUGCGAGACCUACAAGUCGAGCAGGGUCGAAAGACGGACUUAGUGAUCCGGUGGUUCCGCAUGGAAGGGCCAUCGCUCAACGGAUAAAAGCUACCCCGGGGAUAACAGGCUUAUCUCCCCCAAGAGUUCACAUCGACGGGGAGGUUUGGCACCUCGAUGUCGGCUCAUCGCAUCCUGGGGCUGUAGUCGGUCCCA
Molecule: ribosomal RNA, 2566 nt
Filed under: Staphylococcus aureus M0015
Lineage: Bacteria; Bacillati; Bacillota; Bacilli; Caryophanales; Staphylococcaceae
Description: bacterial LSU rRNA
Rfam family: Bacterial large subunit ribosomal RNA
Source: RNAcentral